GUGUGAAGACAUCGGAGUGAGAGUACAGAUAUUCGUUGAGAAUAAAAUUACUGAGUGUGACCAUCUCGAGCAGUCAUAAGGAAGUCUAUCUUCUCGUCGAUGACUAGCUCGAUGCUGUAGCUGUGUGUCUAGUUCUUUGACCUGAGGUGCAUCGAUAGUUCAUCUUGAGUGUGUUAUAGUUUGACUAUAUCAUAACUCGAUCUCCUAGCCAUUCAGAACCUUGAGGUGUAUGUUGGCUGUAGCAUAUUCAUUGUAGGAACCAGAUUGCACCAAGAUGGGAUCUAUCAAUCUCGAUAGAUGAGAGGAG
RNAcentral lists this long non-coding RNA (307 nucleotides) under Elaeis guineensis (African oil palm). RNAcentral's name for it is "long non-coding RNA (EGUI_LNC060806)". The record is from RNAcentral. Lineage: Eukaryota; Viridiplantae; Streptophyta; Magnoliopsida; Arecales; Arecaceae.